GCAAGUCGAACGGAAAGGCCCUUCGGGGUGCUCGAGUGGCGAACGGGUGAGUAACACGUGGGUGAUCUGCCCUGCACUUUGGGAUAAGCCUGGGAAACUGGGUCUAAUACCGAAUAUGAUCACGGGCUUCAUGGUCUGUGGUGGAAAGCUUUUGCGGUGUGGGAUGGGCCCGCGGCCUAUCAGCUUGUUGGUGGGGUAAUGGCCUACCAAGGCGACGACGGGUAGCCGGCCUGAGAGGGUGACCGGCCACACUGGGACUGAGAUACGGCCCAGACUCCUACGGGAGGCAGCAGUGGGGAAUAUUGCACAAUGGGCGCAAGCCUGAUGCAGCGACGCCGCGUGAGGGAUGACGGCCUUCGGGUUGUAAACCUCUUUCAAUAGGGACGAAGCGCAAGUGACGGUACCUAUAGAAGAAGGACCGGCCAACUACGUGCCAGCAGCCGCGGUAAUACGUAGGGUCCGAGCGUUGUCCGGAAUUACUGGGCGUAAAGAGCUCGUAGGUGGUUUGUCGCGUUGUUCUGUCGAAAACUCACAGCUUAACUGUGGGCGUGCGGGCGAUACGGGCAGACUUGAGUACUGCAGGGGAGACUGGAAUUCCUGGUGUAGCGGUGGAAUGCGCAGAUAUCAGGAGGAACACCGGUGGCGAAGGCGGGUCUCUGGGCAGUAACUGACGCUGAGGAGCGAAAGCGUGGGGAGCGAACAGGAUUAGAUACCCUGGUAGUCCACGCCGUAAACGGUGGGUACUAGGUGUGGGUUUCCUUCCUUGGGAUCCGUGCCGUAGCUAACGCAUUAAGUACCCCGCCUGGGGAGUACGGCCGCAAGGCUAAAACUCAAAGAAAUUGACGGGGGCCCGCACAAGCGGCGGAGCAUGUGGAUUAAUUCGAUGCAACGCGAAGAACCUUACCUGGGUUUGACAUGCACAGGACGUGCCUAGAGAUAGGUAUUCCCUUGUGGUCUGUGUGCAGGUGGUGCAUGGCUGUCGUCAGCUCGUGUCGUGAGAUGUUGGGUUAAGUCCCGCAACGAGCGCAACCCUCGUCCUAUGUUGCCAGCGGGUUAUGCCGGGGACUCGUAGGAGACUGCCGGGGUCAACUCGGAGGAAGGUGGGGAUGACGUCAAGUCAUCAUGCCCCUUAUGUCCAGGGCUUCACACAUGCUACAAUGGCCGGUACAAAGGGCUGCGAUGCCGUGAGGUGGAGCGAAUCCUUUUAAAGCCGGUCUCAGUUCGGAUCGGGGUCUGCAACUCGACCCCGUGAAGUCGGAGUCGCUAGUAAUCGCAGAUCAGCAACGCUGCGGUGAAUACGUUCCCGGGCCUUGUACACACCGCCCGUCACGUCAUGAAAGUCGGUAACACCCGAAGCCGGUGGCC
This 1365-nucleotide ribosomal RNA is filed under the name Mycobacterium sp. wged16. RNAcentral describes it as "16S ribosomal RNA". It matches the Rfam family "Bacterial small subunit ribosomal RNA", at positions 57 to 1435 of the family's 1533-position model. The record is from RNAcentral. Lineage: Bacteria; Bacillati; Actinomycetota; Actinomycetes; Mycobacteriales; Mycobacteriaceae.